GAUGAACGCUGGCGGCGUGCCUAAUACAUGCAAGUCGAGCGAACAGACGAGGAGCUUGCUCCUCUGACGUUAGCGGCGGACGGGUGAGUAACACGUGGAUAACCUACCUAUAAGACUGGGAUAACUUCGGGAAACCGGAGCUAAUACCGGAUAAUAUAUUGAACCGCAUGGUUCAAUAGUGAAAGACGGUUUUGCUGUCACUUAUAGAUGGAUCCGCGCCGCAUUAGCUAGUUGGUAAGGUAACGGCUUACCAAGGCAACGAUGCGUAGCCGACCUGAGAGGGUGAUCGGCCACACUGGAACUGAGACACGGUCCAGACUCCUACGGGAGGCAGCAGUAGGGAAUCUUCCGCAAUGGGCGAAAGCCUGACGGAGCAACGCCGCGUAAGUGAUGAAGGUCUGCGGAUCGUAAAACGCUGUUAUUAGGGAAGAACAAAUGUGUAAGUAACUAUGCACGUCUUGACGGUACCUAAUCAGAAAGCCACGGCUAACUACGU
This 496-nucleotide ribosomal RNA is filed under the name uncultured bacterium. RNAcentral describes it as "partial 16S ribosomal RNA". It matches the Rfam family "Bacterial small subunit ribosomal RNA", at positions 28 to 506 of the family's 1533-position model. The record is from RNAcentral.